UACGGAGGGUGCGAGCGUUGUUCGGAAUCACUGGGCGUAAAGCGCGCGUAGGCGGUCUGCUAAGUCUGAUGUGAAAGCCCGGGGCUCACCCCCGGAAGUGCAUUGGAAACUGACAGACUGGAGUCCCGGAGAGGAAGGUGGAAUUCCUGGUGUAGCGGUGAAAUGCGUAGAUAUCAGGAGGAACACCGGUGGCGAAGGCGGCCUUCUGGACGGUGACUGACGCUGAGGCGCGAAAGCGUGGGGAGCAAAC
This 250-nucleotide ribosomal RNA is filed under the name uncultured bacterium. Its description in RNAcentral is "partial 16S ribosomal RNA". It matches the Rfam family "Bacterial small subunit ribosomal RNA", at positions 524 to 773 of the family's 1533-position model. The record is from RNAcentral.